Molecule: ribosomal RNA, 206 nt
Filed under: uncultured bacterium
Lineage: Bacteria
Description: partial 16S ribosomal RNA
Rfam family: Bacterial small subunit ribosomal RNA
Source: RNAcentral
UGCGCAGGCGGUUUGCUAAGACAGGUGUGAAAUCCCCGGGCUUAACCUGGGAACUGCGCUUGUAACUGGCAAGCUAGAGUGUGGCAGAGGGGGGUGGAAUUCCAGGUGUAGCAGUGAAAUGCGUAGAGAUCUGGAGGAACACCGAUGGCGAAGGCAGCCCCCUGGGCUAACACUGACGCUCAUGCACGAAAGGCUGGGAGCAAACA